GUUGUUAAUAAUUUAUAUUUUUUGUUAUUUUUUAUGUUUUAAUGAAAUUAUUUUUGUGUUAUUGUAUAUAUUUUUGAUUUAAUUUUUUUUAUUAUAGUUUAUUUGUACUGUAGAGGUUUAUUUUAUUAUUUAUUAAGUUGAUUUAUUUUAUUGUACCUUGUGUAUCAGGGUUUAUUGAAUUUUUUUAUUUAUUUUUUGAUUCCCGAUUUUAGAUGAGUUAAUUAAUUAUUUUAGUUGUUGUUUUAUAAACAUUAAUUAUAUUUUUUUGGUAAUGAUAUGUUAUUCGUUUUUUAUGGUAUCUGGUUUUUCGGGAAAUGAAUUUAAUUCAAGUAUUAUUUUUAAUUUUUCUUUAUUGUUAGUUUUUUUUUAUUUAGUAUUUAUGUGAUGGGGGAUUAGCUCUUUUAUAUAUUUUUAUAAUAUUCUUUUUACUUUAUUUUUGUGGGUUUUAUGUUAACUAUCAGUUUAAUUAUGUUGAAAUUUUAAUUUUUGAUUGUUGUAUUUUUGUUGUUUUUAAGUUUUUUAUUGAAAUGUUUAAAUUAAUCUUUUAUUUAUUUUAAUUAUUGUUUAAUUAGUAUAUUAUUAAUUAUUUUGUUUAUUUUUUUUUUGUUAAGUUUUUUAUAGGAACUAGGCAAUAUAUUUCACUCGCCUGUUUAUCAAAAACAUCUCUUCUUGAAUAUAUUUUGAUGUAUGGCCUGCCCACUGAAUAUUGAAUGGCCGCGGUAUUUUGACCGUGCAAAGGUAGCAUAAUCAUUAGUCUUUUAAUUGUAGGCUGGAAUGAAUGGUUUGACGAGGUGUUAACUGUCUUUAAUUUUUUUUAUUGAAUUUAAAUUUUAGGUUAAAAUGCCUAAAUGGGUUUUUGGGACGAGAAGACCCUAUAGAGUUUUAUAGAUUUUUAUUUUUUUGUAUGAGAUUUUUUAAUAUAAAAAUUUAUUUUGUUGGGGUGAUGGAAAGAUUAAAUUAACUCUUUUUGUUUUUAUAUAUUUAUUUAUAUGUGUUUGAUCCAUUUUUAUUGAUUAUAAGACUAAAUUACCUUAGGGAUAACAGCGUAAUUCUUUUUGAGAGUUCAUAUUGACAAAAGAUUUUGCGACCUCGAUGUUGGAUUAAGAUAAAUUUUUGGUGUAGGUGCUAUAAUAUAUUAGGUCUGUUCGACCUUUAAAAUCUUACAUGAUCUGAGUUCAAACCGGUGUGAGCCAGGUUGGUUUCUAUCUAUAAUAAUUUAUAACAUUUUAGUACGAAAGGACCAUAUGUUUUAAAUAAUUUUAUUUUUCUGAUUAUUAAUAAUU
This 1283-nucleotide ribosomal RNA is filed under the name Cryptocercus meridianus. RNAcentral's name for it is "16S ribosomal RNA". The stretch from base 1037 to 1197 matches the Rfam family "Archaeal large subunit ribosomal RNA", at positions 2542 to 2701 of the family's 2987-position model. Lineage: Eukaryota; Metazoa; Arthropoda; Insecta; Blattodea; Cryptocercidae. The record is from RNAcentral.